Molecule: long non-coding RNA, 1096 nt
Filed under: Mus musculus (house mouse)
Lineage: Eukaryota; Metazoa; Chordata; Mammalia; Rodentia; Muridae
Description: long non-coding RNA chrX:102384345-102385441
Source: RNAcentral
UGGAAGAGUUUGGAGGGAGAAAAGGGAAGGGAGAAAUGAUAUAAUUAUGUUAUAAUCUCAAAAAAAAUCAUCUACUAAUCCUGUGAAAAGCCUUCAACUUUAAUGUUCAACUUCGACUUUCAAUUAAGAAUGAGAUCCAAUGCUUUGUCAUGGCCUACAGACGCCACAGGAUCUGGUUUGUUAUUUACUCCGUCUCAUGCGUCUACUGCCCCACCUGCCAGACCCAGCCACAGUGGUCUGCUUUUAGUAUCAAGAAUAUGCCAAGCUCUUUCUAGCCUCAGAAUCUGUGGGCAUGGCUGCUAUAUUAGUUACUAGUCUCAUUGCUAUGGUGGUGCUGGCAUUGCUGCUGCUGGUGGUGGUGGAGGUGGUGGUGGUGGUGUGGUGUGUGGUGGUGUGAUGUGUGUGUAUGUGUGUGUGUGUUGAGGGGGCAGUGUUAGAUGUGGAACUGCCCUUCUACCAUGUGUGUUCCUGGGGCUGAAUUUAGAUAGUCAGGCAUGAGAGCAAGUGCUUUACCUGGUGAGUCACCUUGCUGGUACCUAGACUUUCUUUCACUUCCUUUUUACGUGCUCUUUAGCAUGCUUUUCUCACUGGAUUUUCAACUUCCUCAAUGUUAGUUCCAUGCCUACACUGUUUAUCAGUGUUGCCUCAGGACUUGUCAGUGUUCCCUGAGUGACUGAAUGACGUUUGAAGUCAAUCAGUUGAGUACGGCAGGCAAGCUAUAUUCAGUUUCCUUUGUUGUUUUAGGUAACAAAACUUUACAGCAGUUUAAUGGCUGUGAUGUUUCUGACCAUGCUCAGUACAGCUGAACAGGUUUUAUGGAAGACUUAAGUCAACCAAGAAAAAGACAGUUUAAGAAAGUCUGCUAUUUAGGCCUUUAUGCUUGUGAGUAACUCAAGAAUGAUAAUUCUAAUUACUAUAAGCCAGUGGUUCUCAGCAGAGGGCAACUGUGCUCAGCCCCUAAACACCUGGCAAUGGCUGGAGAUAUUCUCAGUUGUCAAAUUGGAAAGGAAAAAAGCAGAUUGUGCUCCUGGCCUCUAGUGCUUAGAUGCCAAGGAUGUUCGGCAUUAUAUCCCCAGAAAUACCAAUCGUACUAGCC